This 407-nucleotide ribosomal RNA is filed under the name uncultured bacterium. RNAcentral's name for it is "bacterial SSU rRNA". It matches the Rfam family "Bacterial small subunit ribosomal RNA", at positions 357 to 776 of the family's 1533-position model. The record is from RNAcentral.
GGGAAUAUUGCACAAUGGGCGCAAGCCUGAUGCAGCAACGCCGCGUGAGGGACGACGGCCUUCGGGUUGUAAACCUCUUUUAGCAGGGAAGAAGCGAAAGUGACGGUACCUGCAGAAAAAGCACCGGCUAACUACGUUCCAGCAGCCGCGGUAAUACGUAGGGUGCAAGCGUUAUCCGGAAUUAUUGGGCGUAAAGAGCUCGUAGGCGGUUUGUCGCGUCUGCUGUGAAAACUGGGGGCUCAACCCCCAGCCUGCAGUGGGUACGGGCAGACUAGAGUGCGGUAGGGGAGAUUGGAAUUCCUGGUGUAGCGGUGGAAUGCGCAGAUAUCAGGAGGAACACCGAUGGCGAAGGCAGAUCUCUGGGCCGUAACUGACGCUGAGGAGCGAAAGGGUGGGGAGCAAACAGG